AGAAGCUUGCUUUUAGAAGUCGAGUGGCAAACGGGUGAGUAACGCGUAGACAACCUGCCUCUGGGAUGGGGACAACAGCCCGAAAGGGCUGCUAAUACCGAAUGAAAUGGUUUCUUCUCCUGAAGAGAUCAUGAAAGAUGGCCUCUAAAUUAUGCUAUCGCCGAGAGAUGGGUCUGCGUCUGAUUAGCUGGUUGGCGGGGUAACGGCCCACCAAGGCGACGAUCAGUAGCCGGUCUGAGAGGAUGAACGGCCACAUUGGAACUGAGACACGGUCCAGACUCCUACGGGAGGCAGCAGUGGGGAAUCUUCCGCAAUGGGCGCAAGCCUGACGGAGCAACGCCGCGUGAGUGAAGAAGGGCUUCGGCUCGUAAAGCUCUGUUGUCGGGGACGAAUGUACGGAAUGAGAAUAUUGUUCUGUAAUGACGGUACCUGACGAGGAAGCCACGGCUAACUACGUGCCAGCAGCCGCGGUAAUACGUAGGUGGCGAGCGUUGUCCGGAAUUAUUGGGCGUAAAGGGAGCGCAGGCGGGAAGGCAAGUCGGUCUUAAAAGUGCGGGGCUUAACCCCGUGAGGGGAUCGAAACUGUCAUUCUUGAGUGCAGGAGAGGAAAGCGGAAUUCCUAGUGUAGCGGUGAAAUGCGUAGAUAUUAGGAGGAACACCAGUGGCGAA
RNAcentral lists this ribosomal RNA (669 nucleotides) under uncultured rumen bacterium. RNAcentral describes it as "bacterial SSU rRNA". It matches the Rfam family "Bacterial small subunit ribosomal RNA", at positions 74 to 719 of the family's 1533-position model. The record is from RNAcentral.